Phascolarctos cinereus (koala) is the source of this 491-nucleotide long non-coding RNA. RefSeq lists it as uncharacterized. Lineage: Eukaryota; Metazoa; Chordata; Mammalia; Diprotodontia; Phascolarctidae. The record is from RefSeq and is a predicted model, not a curated record.
AAAGGCCAGACAGGCUAGAAACUUGGUGCAAAGAAGCCAGCACAACUAGGUAUGAACAUAUCAACACUGAGGAACUUGGAAGAAGAAUGAGCAAAAGAUGCCCUCAGGGAAAUGUAUGAGAAGAGAAGAUGGGCGGGUCAUUUGUCAACAAAAGCAGUCACCUGACCCCAGGAUUAGAAGAAGCUUUCCCCUGUUUUGCCCUCUUGGCUUAAAGAUUACCAAUCACCUAAGAAUGAGACUCUUAGCCCCAAGUGCCAAGCUCUUUAGAACAAAGAAUCUUCUCACUUGGAAGAAGUCACCAUCACUAUGGCUACUACUAUGUAUCUAUUCCAGGUACACAAUUUCCUUAAGCCUGAUUCCUUGGGCUAAUGCCACCUCAUGCUACCCAUCCUUUGUCUGACCAACCAGGACUUUUUCCUGCUACAAUCCACUUUCCCUUUGAAACCUACUUAUCUGUGUCUCAAGUCCUUCAUCUGUUUUCCAAGGUGACA